GAUGAACGCUGGCGGCGUGCUUAACACAUGCAAGUCGAACGGAAAGGCUCCUGCUUGCAGGGGUACUCGAGUGGCGAACGGGUGAGUAACACGUGGGUGAUCUGCCCUGCACUUCGGGAUAAGCCUGGGAAACUGGGUCUAAUACCGGAGAGGACGAUUGUUUGGAUGCCAUUGUGGAAAGUUUUUCGGUGUGGGAUGAGCUCGCGGCCUAUCAGCUUGUUGGUGGGGUAAUGGGCUACCAAGGCGUCGACGGGUAGCCGGCCUGAGAGGGUGUACGGCCACAUUGGGACUGAGAUACGGACCAGACUCCUACGGGAGGCAGCAGUGGGGAAUAUUGCACAAUGGGCGCAAGCCUGAUGCAGAGACGCCGCGUGGGGGAUGACGGCCUUCGGGUUGUAAACUCCUUUCGCUAGGGACGAAGCGCAAGUGACGGUACCUGGAGAAGAAGCACCGGCUAACUACGUG
Molecule: ribosomal RNA, 465 nt
Filed under: uncultured bacterium
Lineage: Bacteria
Description: partial 16S ribosomal RNA
Rfam family: Bacterial small subunit ribosomal RNA
Source: RNAcentral